Molecule: microRNA precursor, 95 nt
Filed under: Paramuricea clavata
Lineage: Eukaryota; Metazoa; Cnidaria; Anthozoa; Malacalcyonacea; Plexauridae
Source: RNAcentral
AUUCAACGUAGAUGUUUAUGACGUUGAUAUUCAACGUCAUAAACAUUCAACUUAGAUGUUUAUGACGUUGAAUAUCAACGUCAUAAACAUUCAAC